Molecule: ribosomal RNA, 642 nt
Filed under: uncultured bacterium
Lineage: Bacteria
Description: bacterial SSU rRNA
Rfam family: Bacterial small subunit ribosomal RNA
Source: RNAcentral
GCUGGCGGCGUGCCUAACACAUGCAAGUCGAACGUGAAGGCAAAGAGAAGUGCUUCGGUAUGGAUUUUUGCUGGAAAGUGGCGAACGGGUGAGUAACACGUGGGUGACCUGCCUCGGAGAGGGGGAUAACCAUUGGAAACGAUGGCUAAUACCGCAUAGUCCUGUUGUCGUGGGAAUGGCAGCGGGGAAAGCUCCGGCGCUUCGAGAGGGGCCUGCGACCGAUUAGUUAGUUGGUGGGGUAAAGGCUCACCAAGGCGAUGAUCGGUAGCUGGUCUGAGAGGACGAUCAGUCACACGGGAACUGAGACACGGUCCCGACUCCUACGGGGGGCAGCAGUGAGGAAUAUUGCACAAUGGGGGCAACCCUGAUGCAGCAACGUCGCGUGGAGGAUGAAGGUCUUUGGAUUGUAAACUCCUUUUUUCGGGGAAGAGAGAGGACGGUACCCGAAGAAUAAGUCACGGCUAACUACGUGCCAGCAGCCGCGGUAAUACGUAGGUGGCGAGCGUUAUCCGGAAUUACUGGGCGUAAAGGGCACGCAGGCGGUUCUGAAAGUCUGACGUGAAAGCUCCUGGCUUAACUGGGAGAGGUCGUUGGAAACUGGAGGGCUUGAGGCAAUGAGAGGGGUGCGGAAUUCCCGGUGUA